RNAcentral lists this ribosomal RNA (481 nucleotides) under uncultured bacterium. RNAcentral describes it as "partial 16S ribosomal RNA". It matches the Rfam family "Bacterial small subunit ribosomal RNA", at positions 28 to 507 of the family's 1533-position model. The record is from RNAcentral.
GAUGAACGCUGGCGGCGUGCUUAACACAUGCAAGUCGAACGAAGCACUUUAUUUGAUUUCCUUCGGGACUGAUUAUUUUGUGACUGAGUGGCGGACGGGUGAGUAACGCGUGGGUAACCUGCCUUGUACAGGGGGAUAACAGUUGGAAACGGCUGCUAAUACCGCAUAAGCGCACAGCAUCGCAUGAUGCAGUGUGAAAAACUCCGGUGGUAUAAGAUGGACCCGCGUUGGAUUAGCUAGUUGGUGAGGUAACGGCCCACCAAGGCGACGAUCCAUAGCCGACCUGAUAGGGUGACCGGCAACAUUGGGACUGAGACACGGCCCAAACUCCUACGGGAAGCAGCAGUGGGGAAUAUUGCACAAUGGGCGAAAGCCUGAUGCAGCGACGCCGCGUGAGCGAAGAAGUAUUUCGGUAUGUAAAGCUCUAUCAGCAGGGAAGAUAAUGACGUUACCUGACUAAGAAGCACCGGCUAAAUACGUG